UGUCUACUUUUCUUACUCCAUGUAGGUUUCCCAGAGACUAUGGGUUGAGGAGGAAUUGGAAGUUUGUCGGCUUAGACCUGGUGUCAUUCCAUCAGUGUUAAACUUCCCGGCUCAUCUUGGAAGAGUACGUGCCAGAAAGACCACGACCAAGCAGCCUUGAGAUCUUAGGCAGCGUCUCCCUGAGGUCCCUCUCUAUCUCCCCACACAUCCACCAACCACUGGAACACAUCUCCAAAGUUCUGCCGGUCCAGCUCAGCUUCCCCUCAGAAGAAGUUCCACCACCUGCCAGAUGAAGGAGCCUUUUGAGAGGCAGCUGGCAUCUUGAUUGGACUGUACUUUGGUCUGUUCCAAUCCAGCUUCAGCUCCAGAGACGGCAGGCGGGACGAGUCAACGGAGGCCGGGUGGACGAAGGCAUGCAGCUGAGUACAAUCCAGAAAACAACAGAGGAGGAGUGCAGGGCCAGAACAAGCAGAGUAGCAUCAUAUGUCUCUUAGAAAACAUCAUAGUAUAGCCUUUGGUAUGAAAAAACGCCAUAAUAUACAUCGUAUAUUGUACAAAUAACAAGUCAAAGGAAAGAGACAUACAUUGUAGAAUUGUAGUAAUUGUGGGCUGACUGGCCUUGGCAAUGGUUGUCGGAAUGUGAAUAACACUGACCACACCUCACAGAGGUUAUAAGCUGAGGCAACAUCAACCACCACCAGAACUGAAGAAGCCUCUUGGAUGAGAGGUGAAACGUCUUCAAGGAACCUUCUUAAAGUCCAGUUGGAUUGAUUUAAACAACUUUGGAUGACUGAUCUACUGAUUAUCAGUAUUUUAUUUUUUACUGAUUUACGGUAAUAAAUAAAUUUAAAAAUGGUG
Long non-coding RNA from Amphiprion ocellaris (clown anemonefish), 858 nucleotides. RefSeq lists it as uncharacterized. The transcript is spliced from 2 exons. NCBI's taxonomy places the organism in Eukaryota, Metazoa, Chordata, Actinopteri, Pomacentridae. The record is from RefSeq and is a predicted model, not a curated record.